UUAACUUAAAACAGAAAAAGGAAAAGGAAUCGUUGCUUUCUCAAUAGCCUUUCUCUCUCUGCAAUUUUCAGCCGCUCCAAAACUCAGCAAACCCUAAAAACUUCUCUUUCCUCCCGGAGAAGACGGCCGAAGGCGACGGCUUAUGGUGGAGCCUCCCUUCUUCUCCGGCCACCGUCCCUAAAACACAACUUAACCCUCUAAAUACCCCCUUUCGAGUUCGAAUCCAACCUCUAAAAAUCCCUAAACCCUUAACACAAAACCGAUUCGCCCUGAGCUAACGAGUACGAAGAACAACCAAGAAAGAUCAAACGAAGAACCGAAGAGAAAGAUCGAAGUCCGAAUCGAGGAUUCCAAAGAGCGAAAUGCUAAGGGGUUCGCUCAAAUCGGAGCUCAAACGAAAAACACCCAGGAGCGAGCAAACGAGAUAGACAGUGCGAAAUCCAGUAUAAAUGAAGAUUAUGCAAGUUCUUUUUAAAAUGAGAGGCAAGGGGUUUUACCGUCCAGUAGGGCUUUCAGGUUACAACGUGAAGUGACUUUGAUGGAUAGUUUGUGGGCUGUAAUACAGCAAGGUUGGAGGCGCGUCCCAGUUCAAAGAGAUUUCAAUUUGAUUACCUGACUUUGGUCUUUAGGAUUUAUUCCCAUUUGUAGCAAAUUUCACUGUAAUUACAUUGGUUUUUUUUUAAGACAAAUGUCUGCUUGGAUUAUGUAACUUAUUGAAUUAAAAGUCUAAUAACCAUUAAUAAUUAUGUAUUCAA
This is a long non-coding RNA of Lathyrus oleraceus (garden pea), 755 nucleotides long. RefSeq lists it as uncharacterized. The transcript has 2 exons. The record is from RefSeq and is a predicted model, not a curated record. NCBI's taxonomy places the organism in Eukaryota, Viridiplantae, Streptophyta, Magnoliopsida, Fabales, Fabaceae.